GAAUUGGUAGUAAUCGCGGAUCAGCUAUGCCGCGGUGAAUACGUUCUUGCCUCUUGCACACACCGCCCGUCAAGCCAACAAAGUCGGGAAAAUUUGAACCCCACCUAUGGUGGGGGAGGAUUCUUCCGGCGAUGGGGGUUAAGUCGUAACAAGGUAUCCGUUCUGGAAGGAGCGGAUGGAUCACCUCCUUUCUAA
This 195-nucleotide ribosomal RNA is filed under the name Candidatus Roizmanbacteria bacterium RIFCSPLOWO2_02_FULL_37_9. RNAcentral's name for it is "partial 16S ribosomal RNA". It matches the Rfam family "Bacterial small subunit ribosomal RNA", at positions 1329 to 1533 of the family's 1533-position model. Lineage: Bacteria; Candidatus Roizmaniibacteriota. The record is from RNAcentral.